AUGGGAAGCUUGCGAGGCGGAAGCGGCGGAGAAGGGCGGAACGAGGACGGAGGGAAAGUCGGGCUACCGGCGUUGGAGGUGGCGCUCGCGUUCCCGCAGGCCACGCCGGCGUCCCUGUUCCCGCCCGCCGUGUCGGACUACUACCAGCUAGAUGAUUUGCUGACCAAUGAAGAGAAGGCGCUUAGGAAGAAAGUCCGUGCUAUUUCAGAGAAAGAAAUCGCACCCAUUAUGACCGAAUACUGGGAGAAGGCAGAAUUCCCAUUUCAUGCCAUUCCGAAACUUGCAACUCUUGGCUUAGCUGGAAGUACAACGAAGGGAUAUGGUUGCCCAGGGCUCUCGCUUACAGCGAGUGCCGUUUCUAUAGCAGAAGUUGCACGGGUUGAUGCAAGCUGCUCCACAUUUAUUCUAGUGCACUCCUCUUUGGCAAUGUCCACAAUUGCUCUUUGUGGAUCAGAGGCUCAAAAGCAGAAGUACUUACCAUCGUUAGCUCAGUUUAAAACUGUUGGUUGCUGGGCUUUAACAGAGCCAGAUUAUGGAAGUGAUGCAAGCUCCUUGAAAACUUCAGCAACCAAGGUACCUGGCGGUUGGCAAUUAGAUGGCCAAAAGCGCUGGAUAGGUAACAGCACGUUUGCAGAUGUGCUUGUAAUUUUAGCUAGGAAUGCAGACACAAAGCAACUAAAUGGAUUCAUUGUGAAGAAGGGGGCGCCUGGUUUGAGAGCCACAAAAAUUCAAAACAAAAUUGGACUUAGAAUGGUUCAGAAUGGCGAUAUCCUUCUGAAUAAAGUAUUUGUCCCAGAAGAAGACAGAUUAACAGGCAUCAAUUCAUUUCAGGAUAUAAGCAAGGUCCUAGCAAUGUCACGUAUUAUGGUGGCUUGGCAGCCAAUUGGCAUAUCGAUGGGCGUCUACGACAUGUGCCAUCGGUAUUUGAAAGAAAGGAAGCAGUUUGGAGCUCCCCUGGCAGCCUUUCAGCUCAACCAAGAAAAGCUUGUUCGGAUGCUUGGUAACAUCCAGGCCAUGCUUCUUGUCGGCUGGCGCUUGUGCAAGCUCUAUGAGUCAGGCAAAAUGACACCAGGUCAUGCUAGUUUGGGCAAGGCAUGGACGUCCAGCAAGUCAAGGGAGGUAGUUUCUCUGGGUCGAGAGCUAUUGGGCGGCAAUGGAAUUUUGGCUGAUUUUCUAGUAGCGAAGGCGUUCUGCGAUCUGGAGCCGAUUUACUCGUAUGAGGGCACCUAUGACAUCAACAGCCUGGUGACCGGAAGAGAAAUCACCGGGAUCGCGAGCUUCAAACCUGCUGCAGUAGCGAAAUCUCGGCUGUAA
Molecule: ribosomal RNA, 1314 nt
Filed under: Triticum aestivum (bread wheat)
Lineage: Eukaryota; Viridiplantae; Streptophyta; Magnoliopsida; Poales; Poaceae
Description: partial small subunit ribosomal RNA
Source: RNAcentral